AAAAACCUGUUGUUUUUUAGUUGGUUUUGAUCUUCGGUAAGCCAACCAAUUGAUUUUAAAUGAUAUUUCUUGAGAUUUACGAGCAAACAAAAUUUAGGAAUUUUCGGAAAUUUUAAGGAAUUUCGGGAAUUUAAUUCCCUUAAAAUAGACAGUGUCU
Long non-coding RNA from Bradysia coprophila, 157 nucleotides. Lineage: Eukaryota; Metazoa; Arthropoda; Insecta; Diptera; Sciaridae. The record is from RefSeq and is a predicted model, not a curated record.